UACGGAGGAUGCAAGCGUUAUCCGGAUUUAUUGGGUUUAAAGGGUGCGUAGGCGGCCGAGUAAGUCAGCGGUGAAAUUUUGCAGCUUAACUGUAAUAGUGCCGUUGAUACUGCAUGGCUAGGAUUUGGUUGCUGUGGGUGGAAUGUGUGGUGUAGCGGUGAAAUGCUUAGAUAUCACACAGAAUAUCAAUUGCGAAGGCAGCUCACAAAGCCAAGAUUGACGCUGAGGCACGAAAGUGUGGGGAUCAAA
This 249-nucleotide ribosomal RNA is filed under the name uncultured prokaryote. Its description in RNAcentral is "partial 16S ribosomal RNA". It matches the Rfam family "Bacterial small subunit ribosomal RNA", at positions 524 to 772 of the family's 1533-position model. The record is from RNAcentral.